RNAcentral lists this ribosomal RNA (716 nucleotides) under uncultured bacterium. RNAcentral's name for it is "bacterial SSU rRNA". It matches the Rfam family "Bacterial small subunit ribosomal RNA", at positions 68 to 773 of the family's 1533-position model. The record is from RNAcentral.
GGUAACAGGAAGCAGCUUGCUGCUUCGCUGACGAGUGGCGGACGGGUGAGUAAUGUCUGGGAAACUGCCUGAUGGAGGGGGAUAACUACUGGAAACGGUAGCUAAUACCGCAUAACGUCGCAAGACCAAAGAGGGGGACCUUCGGGCCUCUUGCCAUCGGAUGUGCCCAGAUGGGAUUAGCUAGUAGGUGGGGUAACGGCUCACCUAGGCGACGAUCCCUAGCUGGUCUGAGAGGAUGACCAGCCACACUGGAACUGAGACACGGUCCAGACUCCUACGGGAGGCAGCAGUGGGGAAUAUUGCACAAUGGGCGCAAGCCUGAUGCAGCCAUGCCGCGUGUAUGAAGAAGGCCUUCGGGUUGUAAAGUACUUUCAGCGGGGAGGAAGGGAGUAAAGUUAAUACCUUUGCUCAUUGACGUUACCCGCAGAAGAAGCACCGGCUAACUCCGUGCCAGCAGCCGCGGUAAUACGGAGGGUGCAAGCGUUAAUCGGAAUUACUGGGCGUAAAGCGCACGCAGGCGGUUUGUUAAGUCAGAUGUGAAAUCCCCGGGCUCAACCUGGGAACUGCAUCUGAUACUGGCAAGCUUGAGUCUCGUAGAGGGGGGUAGAAUUCCAGGUGUAGCGGUGAAAUGCGUAGAGAUCUGGAGGAAUACCGGUGGCGAAGGCGGCCCCCUGGACGAAGACUGACGCUCAGGUGCGAAAGCGUGGGGAGCAAAC